UAUAUCUUCUCCACGUUCUCCUCCUCCGCAUUGGUCGUCUUCUGUCUUCUUCCUCUUCGCCUCUCUCUCCGAGGCUUCUUCGGUUACUGAAGAAUUCUGCUUUGAAAGCUUCCAGAAACCAAGUAUAAAUAGUAGAAACUUGACAGCGGGUGUUCUUCCCUUUGGAAAUCUGAAAUUUUCUCGGGGUUUGAUUAUAUUCGUAUGGCUUGGGAUUGAAAUGUCUAUUUUCUUACCUCCUCCGUCUUCAAUAGCAUUUUGAGCUCUUUUGGCUAUGGAUUCUACCAACUGAUGUGUGUCCUGUUUUGUCAGAAUCAAUGACUUCUUGAGAAUAGCUGGCAAAAGGGAAAGAUGGGUAUCAUGAUUUAGAUUCUCUGUUUCGUAUUAAGCUUUUACUAUGCAGAAAAACUGCUUGAUUUGUUCCUAUUUUGGACUCCCUCGUGUGUCCGCUUUCAGGUUAUUAGGUAAGAUGAGUUUCGAGAAGAAUUCAUGGCUUUUGUUUGGUACGAUUAGGUAAUAGGAGACACUACUAACUUCUCAAUAUCACCAUUAAAAACCAAACACUGCCAAUGGUUUUGUCUGCGAAUGUAUAUCAGAUAUUAUGAUACAUACAUGUUCUGAGUCUCCGUCAAUUCCAAGUAUGUCUGAAGUGCAGCUCAAGAUUUUCUUUCAGAUUAUAAAGCUCUUAAGUCUUAACCUUUAUUGUUUUUCAGAGUUGUAAUUACACAAUCUUGAUGCAUCUUUGUUUGAUGAAUUAUCAUCAUCUGAAGGUCAAUGGAGCCGAAUGCAGGUUGUUAAAGACCUUACUCCACCCUAAUCUUGAUCCCUUGGACAUUCCGAUGGUGCUCAUAAAACCCCCAGAAGCAUGUUCAACAGCUGAAGCUACAGCGCAAUUCAAACUGAAACUAAUGCCUAAUAUUCUGCUUCUAGAGGAUUUCAGGAUUCUAUGGCUAAAUUUUCAGCGUUUCCAACAGACCAGCAAGAUGGGCCCUCUAUUGAUGCUGGAUAAUAUCACAAGCAGUGAAUAUCUUUAGUCGUUUGCGUUAAUGAUUUGCUGGAGAUGUGGGGACUAUGAUUCUGUCUUCGUGUCUGAGAGGUAUGUCUUAACUGAGUUCCUCUGCACAUGUUUUCUGUUUAUUACCACCUCUUGAACCAGUAAGCAGUUGAUCCGUCUUCUUCCAAGGGCCUAACAAGUUGCUCCUGUAUGUACAAAACUGCCACCAAUACAACUUUUGGUACCAUUAUUGUGAAUCUACAUGUGGUUUUGUUAUUUUUUUUUCUUUUGUUAAAAGCUUACAAAUGAAGGGCCGACUUGUCUCAGCGGUGAAACCAUUUCCUACGGUAGGGUAUGAGAUCGCAAGUUCGAAUCCAUCUCUCUACAUUAAAAUAUAGGGGUAAGGUGGCCUAAUAUAUUCCCUUCCCCAUCACCCCAUUAGAUGGAGAUACGAACUGGGUUGGUCCUUUGGUUAAAAGCUUACAAAUCUAUCCUCCCUAUGCAACGAAUGAAUGUCAAGAAGUGGAAGCGCCAUUGUAGGCAUUGGUUCUUCAGAUCCUCCACAGUUUAUGUAUAAUGAUGAAGUUGAUGAUGAUGAUGGACACUACAAAGAAUGCCUUCUUAUCUGCGGAGGAGAAACAUAAUGUCUAGACAAGCUAAAUAUGUCUUUCCCUUCAAACGGCGACGUCCAGUCCCGAGAAUUGGCUGUCGAUG
Long non-coding RNA from Tarenaya hassleriana, 1705 nucleotides. RefSeq lists it as uncharacterized. The record is from RefSeq and is a predicted model, not a curated record. The transcript is spliced from 4 exons. NCBI's taxonomy places the organism in Eukaryota, Viridiplantae, Streptophyta, Magnoliopsida, Brassicales, Cleomaceae.